GGAGGAAAAGAAACCAACAGGGAUUGCCUCAGUAACGGCGAGUGAAGCGGCAAAAGCUCAAAUUUUAAAGCUGGCACCUCCGGUGUCCGCGUUGUAAUUUUGUGAGGCAUCUCCGGGUAGGGCGCCGGCCUAAGUUCCUUGGAACAGGACGUCAUAGAGGGUGAGAAUCCCGUGCUUGGCUGGCUGUCCCCGUCCAUGUGAGGUGUCUUCGACGAGUCGAGUUGUUUGGGAAUGCAGCUCAAAAUGGGUGGUAAAUUUCAUCUAAAGCUAAAUAUUGGUGGGAGACCGAUAGCGCACAAGUAGAGUGAUCGAAAGAUGAAAAGCACUUUGAAAAUAGAGUUAAAAAGUACGUGAAAUUGUUGAAAGGGAAGCGCUUGAGACCAGACUUCGGUGGGGAGUGAUCAGCUGUCCUUCUGGGCGGUGCACUUGCUCCCCUCCGGGCCAGCAUCGGUUGGGACGGCGGGAUAAAGGUCCUGGGAAUGUGGCUCCUUUCGGGGAGUGUUAUAGCCCGGGAUGAAAUGCCGCCAGCUCCGACCGAGGACCGCGCCUUCGGGCUAGGAUGCUUGGCAUAAUGGUCUUCAGCGACCCGUCU
This 592-nucleotide ribosomal RNA is filed under the name Morchella ulmaria. RNAcentral describes it as "partial 28S ribosomal RNA". It matches the Rfam family "Eukaryotic large subunit ribosomal RNA", at positions 52 to 654 of the family's 3401-position model. Lineage: Eukaryota; Fungi; Ascomycota; Pezizomycetes; Pezizales; Morchellaceae. The record is from RNAcentral.